RNAcentral lists this long non-coding RNA (903 nucleotides) under Carica papaya (papaya). RNAcentral's name for it is "long non-coding RNA (CPAP_LNC006623)". The record is from RNAcentral. Lineage: Eukaryota; Viridiplantae; Streptophyta; Magnoliopsida; Brassicales; Caricaceae.
AUAAUCUGAGUGCGGAAGCGAAAUAAAAGAUUAAGAUUAAUAUCCCUUAUAAAAUAACUUAAAAGUACUAAACAUAUCACGAAAUAAGUUCUCUAAAAGAAAUACGAGAAUUAAGAAAAAUAAAGAAAACUAUAAGUUAUCUAGCAUCUACUUGCUGUCUUCUUGUGGAUCAGGCUCGGGAACCAGGUCUUCCUAAUCUGAAAUGGUUAAAUAAGGAAUGAGUUACACUAGCCCAGUAAAGACAUCACACUAAUCACCGUCACAGAAGUAAAAGUUGGUAGAAAAUUAAAACAACCAAUGGAGCAGUAGAUUUAAACAAAUUCAUUUAUCAAUAAUCAAACCAUUUUUUGUCCACUUACCGCAAUGAGAUUUAUAAAAAUAACCUAUGGAAACAAUAACAUUAUAAAUAUCAUGAAUUCAUAUAUAAUCUGUAACAUAGCACAUAUCAUACUUUUAUAUUCAAAUCGUCAAACAACAAUUGCCCCUUUUUAUCAGCCUACUAGUAUCCAUGGGGAUCCAUAGGGGUCCCCGCUACACGUGAACCAUUCCCCUUAGCAAACUUAAUUCCAGGGCCGUCCCCAUACCCCGUCCGGUAUGAACGCCAAAAUAAUAAACGUUAAUACCCCGUCCGAUAUGAGGGUGAAGUGGGCCGCCCCCAUACCCCGUCCAGUAUGAGAGCCAAAACCAUAAAGUCUCCAUACCCCGUCCGGUAUGAGACAAAGUUCAAAGUAGGGUUCCCUAUGAACCUGGUCCAUCCACCAUCUCCCAGGAUAUCUAGUGAGGCUGUCAUCUUAUCCAUUUAUCAAAUCACAACCCUUUCCUAUUUUUCCUUAGUCUCCAUUACCAACCCAAACAUGAAUACAUAAACAAGUAAUGUGCAUCCAACAAAGCAAGCAUAUCUUA